This 484-nucleotide ribosomal RNA is filed under the name uncultured bacterium. Its description in RNAcentral is "partial 16S ribosomal RNA". It matches the Rfam family "Bacterial small subunit ribosomal RNA", at positions 30 to 507 of the family's 1533-position model. The record is from RNAcentral.
AUUGAACGCUGGCGGCAUGCUUUACACAUGCAAGUCGAACGGCAGCGCGGGCUUCUUCCUGGCGGCGAGUUUCGAACGGGUGAGUAAUUCAUCGGAACGUGCCCAGUAGUUGGGGAUAGCCCGGCGAAAGCCGGAUUAAUACCGCAUACGACCUGAUGUUGAAAGCGGGGGACCGAAAGGCCUCGCGCUAUUUGAGCGGCCGAUGUCGGAUUAGCUAGUUGGUGGGGUAAAGGCUUACCAAGGCGACGAUCCGUAGCUGUUCUGAGAGGACGACCAGCCACACUGGGACUGAGACACGGCCCAGACUCCUACGGGAGGCAGCAGUGGGGAAUGUUGGACAAUGGGGGCAACCCUGAUCCAGCCAUGCCGCGUGCGGGAAGAAGGCCUUCGGGUUGUAAAACGCUUUUGUUCGGGAAGAAAUACUCUGGGCUAAUACACCGGGGGGAUGACGGUACCGGAAGAAUAAGCACCGGCUAACUACGUG